AUCAUGCUUACUGAGGUCCUACUAAUCAUGCUUACUGAGGUCCUACUAAUCAUGCUUACUGAGGUCCUACUAAUCAUGCUUACUGGGGUCCUACUAAUCAUGCUUCUCCUGCUUUUGUUUUCUUCUGGGGAAUGAGGCCUGUGUUCACUCUGCUCUUUCUAAGCUGUGGAGAGAAAGGGAGAAAAAGGCUUGCAGACCCAACCUCCAAUACCACAGAAGUCUUUGGUCCCAGUCAAAGCUCUUUGGAGAGGCUCAUCUUUGCAACCCGGACCCUAGGAAAAAGCCUUUGGAAGUCGUGAUUCUGGAAGCUGUCCAAGGUGAUAGCCAGGAAGCCACAUUGGCCUUGGCCAGUGGUUAGGGAGGAAUCUUCAGUCCCUCCCAGGAUCUGUGACUGUCAUUACUGCUGACAUGAGCUGACUUCAUCGCCCUGCUGGGCCACCAACAGCUCUGCUUCGGACUUACCAAAUCUAGACCCAGCAUGCAGGACCAGUCUCUUCCAGCAGCCCCCAGCAAGGGCGCCAUGGCGGCCACCUACUUUGCUCUGAACAGGACCCCACAGGCACCGAGGCUAGAGCCUGUGCUCUCAUCUAGCUUGGCCCAACGCAGAGGCAUGAAGAGACUCACGUCUACCAGGUUGUAGUGGCCAGCCAAGUCUCCAGCCUCAGUCGCCCUGCCCAACGUCCUCUCAGCCUCACAGACGCCAGACACAGGUCCUGUUCAUGGGCACUUGAGUGCCCAUGAGUCCAGCACAAAGAUGGAUCUGGCCUUGGCUAUCUCUCUGUUUCCUUUGCAGCCCUAGAAAGGGUCCUGCCCAGGAUGUCUGAGCCUUGCUGCGCCGACCUCUCCGCCCGCUCUCUCUCUCCUCCUGAGUGAAACCAAAUGAAUCUGUCACCUCAUAGCACCCUGCUGGGGCCUCCCUGGGCUCACUCAGGGCUCUCAGUGUCUCCAUGUCAUGGCUUAUGCCCAAAGCAGAGCUCUUUUACCAUCCUGAUGUCACCUACGUGUCCCACUGUCUCUCUGAGAGUGUUAGUGCACAGUCCCUGCCUGGAGACAGCAGAGCCACUUUCGAAGAGCUGGAUGUUUCUGGAUGUUCUGGCAAUGCCAGUGGCCCUGUGAAAGCAUCCAGCUUAGAUGCCUGACUCUGUCCACAAUCACCCAAAGAGUGCCUCUCACCACCCUCCUGCUCUCAAGCAAGAUGCUGGGUAGCUUCUCCCUGACUCUGUCACUGACUUGGCAGGAUGAAAGCAACCAACCCAAGAGUCUAGAUGGGUAGAGUCUAUUUGAGAGCGUGAUUUCUGUUGGUUGAGACAGGAGCCCCAGGAAAUUGCCGGGCAGAGCCAGUACCCACUACACUGCUGCCCCCUUAACCCUGUGGCCCCAGGGACACUGGAGAGAGUGGGGCUCUGCCAUUGCUGGGUGUGUUGGCAUCUCUGCUCAUAUUUGCCUGCUGUGGUAUAGCAUAUUCACUCUCUCUCUGCUUUCCUGGGCCACAGAGAAUGUCUUCUCCUCUACCCCUCUAUCCCUUCUUGACUGAGGACAGGAGAGACACCUGAGCCCCUUGCCUUAGACAGGCAGAAGGUGCCUGGACAAGUUGUCAGUGGGAGUGAUGCUCUUCUUAGAAGCUGUGGUCCUAUGUUGCAUCUUGUGUUUCUGUUGUCUAACCUGUUUUCAGGCUGUAGUCUGCGCAGGGAGCAGUAGUUACACGGACCAGGCUAUCUGUGGCAUACUCUUCAUGCAGAGUAACCGAGUGAGACCCUUCCCCCGUGGCGUGCUCCACUCCUCCUGGUCGGAGAGGAGGGACUUGUGUGUCCUGAAGUCUCUCUGGAGGCUGCUGAGGAUAGUGGACUCAGGUCAGAAGACACUCCACUGUGGCUCAGAACCUGCCAGUCUGAGAAGCAGCCCCUCUGCCCAGUAGAGGCACCUGUAGGAGGCGCCUGUUGGCCACAGCAGGCUUACACUAGGAAGACCACAGGUGGACCACGGCUGCUUCUGCAAUGCCUGCCCCAGUGGAAUGUUCAGAACAUAAUUCCUUUGCUCAGUCUAAUUAUUUCAGACCUCAAAACGUAAACGUAUUUCUGAAGCUUUAAUUACUCCACUGGACUCUGUUCUGUUUGAGAAUUAUAAAAUACAGAGUGGGGAUAGACUGUGUGCCAUUUCCAGUGUCCCUGGGGAUGGUCUCCUGCUUUCUCAGUGAAUGCUCUGCCCAAGGCUGAGAUCAUCUCCCAGUUAAUGUUCUGGGCCUGAAUCCUUCCGAUUCUUGAUAGAAAUCCAGAGGGAAAGUAUAGUGGGUAGUCUUAGUGACAGAUUCUGUCCUCUGGGAAAUGAACAGGAGCUCUGGCACCCUCCGAGGGCCUCUCUGGCAUGCACCCUUGCUCCAGCUGCUCACGGCUCAGGCUGGGUUUGCUUGCAGCUUCAAGUGUACAUGUUCUAAUGAAAAGAAAGAACAACAGAACACAGAAGGCAUGGCUGAGGAGGCGAGCAUAACCUGUCCCCUUCAUGGUCAUGUGGCCGCAUCACCUCUUUCAGUAAUGUGAGGUUACCUGCUUUACACUCAGCCUACUCUCGCCAAAGGGAUGGAGGAGACCAUCAGUCAAACCAAACGCAUCCUCUGGAUGUGUCUGGAAGGAUGCUCAGCCUUGCCCUGCAGAGAGUGGAGUACCCCACAUUCCCACCUCACCCAGUACUUGAUACUUGAAAUCUCUUGUGGAGUCAGUCAGAGGAGCACGUGACAGGAUCGUUUUAAUCCCUGUUCUUUAAAGUCUUCAGUGCCACAGCAGUCUGCUGUGGCAUGUAACCCCGUGUCCCCGGUGUUUACCUGGCCUGUGACCCUUUACCCAACACGAGGAAAGGCUCUGUAUUCUCUACACAAAUGACUACUUGUGUAGCUACAGAAUUUGUCAUGGGAAAGCCCAGCCUACAUCCUGGAACUCCUUUACCCAUCCCCAGAGCUACUUUUGGGCUAUCCCACUGCAGCUCCUGCCCUGUUUGGGCUGAGAACAUGAUGAGCGCUCCACUGAAGGAGGUGGGGAUGGGGUGCUUGUCAGAUUCUGUACCCCAGAGUCAAUGGCAGGCAAGCCGUGAACGUCCCCUGUCCUAUGGUUGGAACGUGUGUGAUUUUGAACUACCUGUGUGCACUGGUCUUUGGAUAUUGUUUGGCUUUUUAAGUGAGGAUCGUCCUGAUGGUAUCUAAUGUCAGCAGUAUUCCUGAUUAAAUGGUGUUCUUCCUUAAGAUGCCCGUUGGGAUUUCCCCUGCAUUGUACCGCUUCUCUCAAGCAUAGGAGGAGAUACACCGUGACUCUUCAUUCUCUCUGGCACAUUUUGCUGCCCUUCACCACCCGCAAGACUGUGAGACACCUGGAGUGGGAAAGGUCUCUGGGGUCCCUCUGUGGCAGGGACAGGUGGAAGGGGAAGCCAGCAUGGCUCGUCUGUGCAGGUGAAAGGCACCACCCCACUCCCAGCCUGCGCUGCGUUUACAUGAUCAGCAGUUCCGUUUACAGCUCACUCCAUGUUCACACUUUCUGGCUGUGUGUUGAGACGGCGGCCACUGUACAGAUAUUUAUUAUGCUUUCCAAACUUUCCCAUGAGAUUUUUUGAAUAAACAUGGAUUUUAUGAAGUGUAA
Long non-coding RNA from Mus musculus (house mouse), 3620 nucleotides. RefSeq annotates it as predicted gene, 36117. NCBI's taxonomy places the organism in Eukaryota, Metazoa, Chordata, Mammalia, Rodentia, Muridae. The transcript is spliced from 3 exons. The record is from RefSeq and is marked validated.